This 2900-nucleotide ribosomal RNA is filed under the name Klebsiella pneumoniae. Its description in RNAcentral is "23S ribosomal RNA". It matches the Rfam family "Bacterial large subunit ribosomal RNA". Lineage: Bacteria; Pseudomonadati; Pseudomonadota; Gammaproteobacteria; Enterobacterales; Enterobacteriaceae. The record is from RNAcentral.
GGUUAAGCGACUAAGCGUACACGGUGGAUGCCCUGGCAGUCAGAGGCGAUGAAGGACGUGCUAAUCUGCGAAAAGCGUCGGUAAGGUGAUAUGAACCGUUAUAACCGGCGAUGUCCGAAUGGGGAAACCCAGUGCAAUUCGUUGCACUAUCGUUAACUGAAUACAUAGGUUAACGAGGCGAACCGGGGAACUGAAACAUCUAAGUACCCCGAGGAAAAGAAAUCAACCGAGAUUCCCCCAGUAGCGGCGAGCGAACGGGGAGCAGCCCAGAGUCUGAAUCAGCUUGUGUGUUAGUGGAACGGUCUGGAAAGUCCGACGGUACAGGGUGAUAGUCCCGUACACCAAAAUGCACAGGCUGUGAACUCGAAGAGUAGGGCGGGACACGUGGUAUCCUGUCUGAAUAUGGGGGGACCAUCCUCCAAGGCUAAAUACUCCUGACUGACCGAUAGUGAACCAGUACCGUGAGGGAAAGGCGAAAAGAACCCCGGCGAGGGGAGUGAAAAAGAACCUGAAACCGUGUACGUACAAGCAGUGGGAGCACCUUCGGGUGUGACUGCGUACCUUUUGUAUAAUGGGUCAGCGACUUAUAUUCUGUAGCAAGGUUAACCGUAUAGGGGAGCCGCAGGGAAACCGAGUCUUAACUGGGCGUUAAGUUGCAGGGUAUAGACCCGAAACCCGGUGAUCUAGCCAUGGGCAGGUUGAAGGUUGGGUAACACUAACUGGAGGACCGAACCGACUAAUGUUGAAAAAUUAGCGGAUGACUUGUGGCUGGGGGUGAAAGGCCAAUCAAACCGGGAGAUAGCUGGUUCUCCCCGAAAGCUAUUUAGGUAGCGCCUCGUGAAUUCAUCUUCGGGGGUAGAGCACUGUUUCGGCUAGGGGGUCAUCCCGACUUACCAACCCGAUGCAAACUACGAAUACCGAAGAAUGUUAUCACGGGAGACACACGGCGGGUGCUAACGUCCGUCGUGAAGAGGGAAACAACCCAGACCGCCAGCUAAGGUCCCAAAGUCAUGGUUAAGUGGGAAACGAUGUGGGAAGGCACAGACAGCCAGGAUGUUGGCUUAGAAGCAGCCAUCAUUUAAAGAAAGCGUAAUAGCUCACUGGUCGAGUCGGCCUGCGCGGAAGAUGUAACGGGGCUAAACCAUGCACCGAAGCUGCGGCAGCGACACUAUGUGUUGUUGGGUAGGGGAGCGUUCUGUAAGCCUGCGAAGGUGUGCUGUGAGGCAUGCUGGAGGUAUCAGAAGUGCGAAUGCUGACAUAAGUAACGAUAAAGCGGGUGAAAAGCCCGCUCGCCGGAAGACCAAGGGUUCCUGUCCAACGUUAAUCGGGGCAGGGUGAGUCGACCCCUAAGGCGAGGCCGAAAGGCGUAGUCGAUGGGAAACAGGUUAAUAUUCCUGUACUUGGUGUUACUGCGAAGGGGGGACGGAGAAGGCUAUGUUAGCCGGGCGACGGUUGUCCCGGUUUAAGCAUGUAGGCUGGUUGUCCAGGCAAAUCCGGAUAAUCAAGGCUGAGGUGUGAUGACGAGGCACUACGGUGCUGAAGUAACAAAUGCCCUGCUUCCAGGAAAAGCCUCUAAGCAUCAGGUAACAUUAAAUCGUACCCCAAACCGACACAGGUGGUCAGGUAGAGAAUACCAAGGCGCUUGAGAGAACUCGGGUGAAGGAACUAGGCAAAAUGGUGCCGUAACUUCGGGAGAAGGCACGCUGGUGUGUAGGUGAAGUCCCUGCGGAUGGAGCUGAGACCAGUCGAAGAUACCAGCUGGCUGCAACUGUUUAUUAAAAACACAGCACUGUGCAAACACGAAAGUGGACGUAUACGGUGUGACGCCUGCCCGGUGCCGGAAGGUUAAUUGAUGGGGUUAUCCGUAAGGAGAAGCUCUUGAUCGAAGCCCCGGUAAACGGCGGCCGUAACUAUAACGGUCCUAAGGUAGCGAAAUUCCUUGUCGGGUAAGUUCCGACCUGCACGAAUGGCGUAAUGAUGGCCAGGCUGUCUCCACCCGAGACUCAGUGAAAUUGAACUCGCUGUGAAGAUGCAGUGUACCCGCGGCAAGACGGAAAGACCCCGUGAACCUUUACUAUAGCUUGACACUGAACAUUGAGCCUUGAUGUGUAGGAUAGGUGGGAGGCUUUGAAGCGUGGACGCCAGUCUGCGUGGAGCCAACCUUGAAAUACCACCCUUUAAUGUUUGAUGUUCUAACGUUGGCCCCUUACCGGGGUUGCGGACAGUGUCUGGUGGGUAGUUUGACUGGGGCGGUCUCCUCCCAAAGCGUAACGGAGGAGCACGAAGGUUAGCUAAUCCUGGUCGGACAUCAGGAGGUUAGUGCAAUGGCAUAAGCUAGCUUGACUGCGAGCGUGACGGCGCGAGCAGGUGCGAAAGCAGGUCAUAGUGAUCCGGUGGUUCUGAAUGGAAGGGCCAUCGCUCAACGGAUAAAAGGUACUCCGGGGAUAACAGGCUGAUACCGCCCAAGAGUUCAUAUCGACGGCGGUGUUUGGCACCUCGAUGUCGGCUCAUCACAUCCUGGGGCUGAAGUAGGUCCCAAGGGUAUGGCUGUUCGCCAUUUAAAGUGGUACGCGAGCUGGGUUUAGAACGUCGUGAGACAGUUCGGUCCCUAUCUGCCGUGGGCGCUGGAGAAUUGAGGGGGCUGCUCCUAGUACGAGAGGACCGGAGUGGACGCAUCACUGGUGUUCGGGUUGUCAUGCCAAUGGCACUGCCCGGUAGCUAAAUGCGGAAGAGAUAAGUGCUGAAAGCAUCUAAGCACGAAACUUGCCCCGAGAUGAGUUCUCCCUGAGACUUUAAGUCUCCUGAAGGAACGUUAAAGACGAUGACGUUGAUAGGCCGGGUGUGUAAGCGCAGCGAUGCGUUGAGCUAACCGGUACUAAUGAACCGUGAGGCUUAACCUU